Molecule: ribosomal RNA, 84 nt
Filed under: Vibrio splendidus
Lineage: Bacteria; Pseudomonadati; Pseudomonadota; Gammaproteobacteria; Vibrionales; Vibrionaceae
Also listed under: 1 other name
Description: partial 16S ribosomal RNA
Rfam family: Bacterial small subunit ribosomal RNA
Source: RNAcentral
AAAUUGAAGAGUUUGAUCAUGGCUCAGAUUGAACGCUGGCGGCAGGCCUAACACAUGCAAGUCGAGCGGAAACGACACUAACAA